CCCCCCCGCGCCCCGCCGCCGGGUGCUGUGCAGCGGAGGGGGGCUCCCGGCGCCGCCCGACCCCCGGCUGCUGCCCGACGGCACCGCCACGCUGCUCCUGAGCAACAACAAGAUCACGGUGCUGCAGAACGGCUCCUUCUUCGGGCUGCGGGCUCUGGAGAAGCUGGACCUGAAGAACAACCUGAUCAGCACGGUGCAGCCCGGCGCCUUCCUGGGCCUCCCCGAGCUCAAGCGCCUGGACCUCUCCAACAACCGCAUCGGCUGCCUGAGCGCCAGCGUCUUCCAGGGGCUCUCCAGCCUCCUCCGGCUGUAAGUGGCACCCUGGGGCUCCCGGCCAGCCCCGGGGUCCCCUCCUGGUAUCUGGGGCACAGCCCAGAGCCCUGCUGGAGCAGCAGGUGACACCAGGAGCCUCAGGACAUGGCAAGGGACCCAGGUUUCAGAGGUGUCCAUGGGGUCCCAGUCCCCUCCAUGCCCUCUUU
This 479-nucleotide long non-coding RNA is filed under the name Anas platyrhynchos platyrhynchos (common mallard). RNAcentral's name for it is "lncRNA (ENSAPLG00000019240.1)". Lineage: Eukaryota; Metazoa; Chordata; Aves; Anseriformes; Anatidae. The record is from RNAcentral.